CGGGUAGUGGCUGAGUUGCAGGGCUCCCGCUUCCUAUGCGGGAAGACCUGGGUCCGAUUCCUAGCUGCUUAC
Molecule: transfer RNA, 72 nt
Filed under: Toxocara canis (dog roundworm)
Lineage: Eukaryota; Metazoa; Nematoda; Chromadorea; Rhabditida; Toxocaridae
Rfam family: tRNA
About the family: Transfer RNA (tRNA) molecules are approximately 80 nucleotides in length. Their secondary structure includes four short double-helical elements and three loops (D, anti-codon, and T loops).
Source: Rfam by way of RNAcentral